This is a long non-coding RNA of Symphalangus syndactylus (siamang), 1267 nucleotides long. RefSeq lists it as uncharacterized. Lineage: Eukaryota; Metazoa; Chordata; Mammalia; Primates; Hylobatidae. The record is from RefSeq and is a predicted model, not a curated record.
AGGAAGGAAGGAAGGAAGGAAGGAAGGAAGGAAGGAAGGAAGGAAGGAAGCCAUUCCUAGCUUUUACCAGCUGCUAGAGGCUGCCUGCAUUCCUCUCUGCUUCACUCGUCACAUCUCCUUCCCUCACUCUGAUCCUCCUGCCUCACUCUUAUAAGGAUCUUUGCAAUGACACUGAGCCCUCUCGGAUAAUCUAAGAUAAUCACCCUAUCUCAGGAUCUUUGACUUAAUGACACCUGCAAAGCCCGUUUUGCCAUAGAAGCCAAGUCAUCCUGAGAGUGAAGCUGGAGGAGGACACAGCUUUAGGAAUCAAAAACAAGCAGGGCUAAAGACCUAAUGUCCACAUGAACCUCUGAGUCAAAAUAUAUGUGGGCAUUGUCAAAGUUCUGGCCAAUGGGGAGUAUUACAUUACUCUUUCUCCUGCUUCCUGGAAUACAGAGUUGAGUGCUGGAGCUUCAACAGCAAUCUUGCAGCAAGAGCUGAAACAGAUUAAUACCAUGGAACAGACAGAAAUAACCUAGGCCUCCACUGACUUUGUGAACCGACACCAAUCCUGAUCCACCUUCUUGUGGUCUUCUUUUGCAGAAAUCUGUUUGGGAAGCAGAGAAAGGAAGGCAAGGGGUCUAGCAGAUCAGCUUUUUGGGCCAGCUUCGUCAAGUCAGAGGCCUUGAGGACUCACAGUCUACGUGGAGAUAGAUGGGCACCAGGGGCUGCAUCUCUAGCUCUAUGAUCAGAGGAUUUUCCUCCAGACAAUACUGGGUGAAUGUGGUUCAACCUUGCUUCUUCAACCACCAACAUGUAUUCCUUGCUCUGAAUCUAUAGUCUUUAGAUGGGUCAUCACCAUUACUAAGUUUCUAGUCAGACCUGCUACUACUGUUACUGACUUCAGACUGAUCUUUUACAUAAUUUUUUUUUUGAGAAUUUAGAACACAUGCCGAAGCAGACAGCCUAAGGUAAUGAAUCUCCUAUUUACCCCUCAUCCCACCCCAACAAUCACCUUCCCAUAGCCAAUGCUGCCCCAUCAUACCCCCAUCUGUUUCCCUCCAUCCCAGAUUAUUUUGAAGCACAUCCUAGACAUCCUAUAAUUUCACCUGUUAAUAUUUCAGAAGGUAUCUUUAAAAGAUAAAGGUCAGGCUGGGCGUGAUGGUUUAUACCUGUAAUCCCAGCACUUUGGGAGGUCAAGGAGGGAAGAUUGCUUAAACCCAGGAGUUCAAGACCAGCUUGGACAACAUAGUGAGACUCUGUUUCUACAAAAAAAAUAAAGAAUUUA